GACGAACGCUGGCGGCGUGCCUAAUACAUGCAAGUUGAGCGCUGAAGGUUGGUACUUGUACCAACUGGAUGAGCAGCGAACGGGUGAGUAACGCGUGGGGAAUCUGCCUUUGAGCGGGGGACAACAUUUGGAAACGAAUGCUAAUACCGCAUAAAAACUUUAAACACAAGUUUUAAGUUUGAAAGAUGCAAUUGCAUCACUCAAAGAUGAUCCCGCGUUGUAUUAGCUAGUUGGUGAGGUAAAGGCUCACCAAGGCGAUGAUACAUAGCCGACCUGAGAGGGUGAUCGGCCACAUUGGGACUGAGACACGGCCCAAACUCCUACGGGAGGCAGCAGUAGGGAAUCUUCGGCAAUGGACGAAAGUCUGACCGAGCAACGCCGCGUGAGUGAGGAAGGUUUUCGGAUCGUAAAACUCUGUUGGUAGAGAAGAACGUUGGUGAGAGUAGAAAGCUCAUCAAGUGACGGUAACUACCCAGAAAGGGACGGCUAACUACGUG
Molecule: ribosomal RNA, 497 nt
Filed under: uncultured bacterium
Lineage: Bacteria
Description: partial 16S ribosomal RNA
Rfam family: Bacterial small subunit ribosomal RNA
Source: RNAcentral